AAGGAUCAUUACCGAGAGCCCCCCUCCUCGGCCGCACUAACCCUGCGGCUGUCGAGGGUGCUAUUCUCACCACCCCUUUUUAUGCGUACCUCUUGUUCUUCCUCGGCAGGGUGACCUGCCGGUGGAACCUCAUCAUGAACCCUUUUUAUAGAGUACUACUUGUUCUGAUACCCUAAAUCGUUACAACUUUCAACAAUGGAUCUCUUGGCUCUG
RNAcentral lists this unclassified non-coding RNA (213 nucleotides) under uncultured fungus. RNAcentral's name for it is "partial contains 18S rRNA, ITS1, 5.8S rRNA, ITS2 and 28S rRNA". The record is from RNAcentral. Lineage: Eukaryota; Fungi.